GCCUAGAAGCAUACAACAAAAUUUGUCAAGAGGUGUUGCCAAAGAUUCACGAAGAUAAACACUACCCUUGUACUUUGGUGGGGACUUGGAACACGUGGUAUGGCGAGCAGGACCAAGCUGUCCACCUCUGGAGGUAUGAAGGAGGCUAUCCAGCCCUCACAGAAGUCAUGAAUAAACUCAGAGAAAAUAAGGAAUUUUUGGAAUUUCGUAAGGCAAGAAGUGACAUGCUUCUCUCCAGG
This 239-nucleotide unclassified non-coding RNA is filed under the name Hevea brasiliensis (rubber tree). Lineage: Eukaryota; Viridiplantae; Streptophyta; Magnoliopsida; Malpighiales; Euphorbiaceae. The record is from RNAcentral.